AGGGUGGACGCCGCCCUUAAGAAAAAAAAGAAAUCCCUCCUUACGGAGUUUGAUAUUUUAGAUGUGAUGUUUGAGUCCCAACAACUGUCUGUUGCUGACUUUGAUAGAAUGAGAAACAUUAAGAAAGAGCUGGAGGAUAUCUGGAGAAAGGAGGAGAUUGCCCUUUGGCAAAGAUCUAGAGAUAGGAAAAAAUUAUAAGAGGAUCGUAAUAAUGCCUAUUUUCAUGCCCUUGCUAAUCACAGACAUGGGAAAAAACACCUCACUGAGUUGGUUAGUCCUUCUGGGGUUGUGACUUCCACUAGUGAUAUGCUUGAUGUUGCUACCUCUUUCUACAAAAAAUUGUUUGCUUUUGAACCUAAACUUGACAUCCAUCUAGAUGCUGGGUUUUGAUCUGAAGAAGAGAUGGUCAAUGAAUAUGAGAGAGAGAUAUUAGAAAGACAUUUUAAGGAAGAGAUUAAACAGGCUAUUAUGAGCUCCUAUGCUAGUGGAGCUCCUGGUCCUGAUGGUCUUUCCUUUCUGUUAUACCAAACUUUUUGGGACCUGAUUAAGGAUGACUUUAUGUGGAUGGUUAGAGAUUUUGAGAGUGGUAUUCUAGUCAUGUACAAACUUAAAUUUGACAUUAUCAUCCUCAUACCUAAAGUCCCUCAUGCCAGGGAUAUGGAAAACUUCAGACCUAUUAGUUUGAUUAACUGUACUGUUAUUUUUUUCCCAAAGCUAUGA
RNAcentral lists this ribosomal RNA (720 nucleotides) under Triticum aestivum (bread wheat). RNAcentral's name for it is "partial small subunit ribosomal RNA". The record is from RNAcentral. Lineage: Eukaryota; Viridiplantae; Streptophyta; Magnoliopsida; Poales; Poaceae.